GCAAUGAAGUAAUUCAUGCGGCAAAACAUAAAAUUUGUUGGAGCAAAGAUGGGGAUGAUUUCAUAGGCAAUUGCACAAUUCAAGAACCUAUCAACUGCAUGAUAUAGAAAGCCUGCCAAAAGAUCAAGAUCCAUAAAUGAUCCAGUUACCUAAGCUACAGACACUGAUUGGUUUACAUCAAAUUAGCCAUACUGACAAAUUCCAAAACAUAGUUCGGUGCAAUUAAUCAACUCUCACCACAGUACAGAUCACAAAUAACAAUAAAUAUGCAUCUCUUCGAGCUAAACUAUUUAAUAGCUCUAUCCUAUCUCAUGCAGAAACAGAAACAGGAGCAGGCUAGCAUUGUCAAGGCGAAUUCUUGCAAGUUAUUUCAGAGUAACGGCUGCAUUUCUCAAUGCAAGAUACCUAUGCACAUGCUCAUUUGGAAGUGAUCUCACGAGUUUGAAGACAUCAGUAUUUGCAUAACGGAGGUUGGUCCUUGGAUCAUGGUAAGGUGCCUGCAGAAGAAGUUCGCUAUGUGUAAGAGGGUCUGUAAAGAGAUUGGUAUACUAUUCCAUAUUGUUUCAGAUAGCAUUCAAGAUAGUAGGAGUUAAUCAUUGCAUGUUCAAUCUGUAUUUCAUGGGAUGAAUGGAAUUGAUA
Populus euphratica (Euphrates poplar) is the source of this 639-nucleotide long non-coding RNA. RefSeq lists it as uncharacterized. The record is from RefSeq and is a predicted model, not a curated record. NCBI's taxonomy places the organism in Eukaryota, Viridiplantae, Streptophyta, Magnoliopsida, Malpighiales, Salicaceae. The transcript has 2 exons.